Molecule: long non-coding RNA, 368 nt
Organism: Fukomys damarensis (Damara mole-rat)
Lineage: Eukaryota; Metazoa; Chordata; Mammalia; Rodentia; Bathyergidae
Exons: 3
Source: RefSeq, a predicted model, not a curated record
CCCACGUAUAGCCCCACCCCCGUGACGAGUCGCACCACCCCCGCUGGCUCCUGCAGACUCUGACCAGUCCCGGAUUCCGCAGUACACGCAACUCCGGCCUCCCACUGGCUGGGCCGCCGCCAUGGACCCGCCCCCAAGAGACGGAGGCUUAAAAGUGCCGGCACCCCAAUUAGGAACUCGCGGCACAGGUUCCCAGUGGCUCACCCUCCAGUUCUCCCUGCCUGACAGGAGGAGGCAGUUCAGUCGAGAUUUAAGAUAAAUCUGCAAAAGGUGAGGCGACUAGGGCACAGGAAGUGAAGGAGCUACUCCAAGGUCACAUGCCUUUUGACGCAAUCAAGGAUUUGAACCCAGGCCUUCUGGCACUGGAU